GCUCAGUAACACGUGGAUAACCUACCCUUAGGACUGGGAUAACCCUGGGAAACUGGGGCUAAUACCGGAUAGAUGAUUUUUCCUGUAAUGGUUUUUUGUUUAAAUGUUUUUUCGCCUAAGGAUGGGUCUGCGGCAGAUUAGGUAGUUGGUUAGGUAAUGGCUUACCAAGCCUUUGAUCGGUACGGGUUGUGGGAGCAAGAGCCCGGAGAUGGAACCUGAGACAAGGUUCCAGGCCCUACGGGGUGCAGCAGGCGCGAAACCUCCGCAAUGUGAGAAAUCGCGACGGGGGGAUCCCAAGUGCUAUUCUUAACGGGAUAGCUUUUCUUUAGUGUAAAGAGCUUUUGGAAUAAGAGCUGGGCAAGACCGGUGCCAGCCGCCGCGGUAACACCGGCAGCUCUAGUGGUAGCAAUUUUUAUUGGGCCUAAAGCGUCCGUAGCCGGUUUAAUAAGUCUCUGGUGAAAUCCUGUAGCUUAACUAUGGGAAUUGCUGGAGAUACUAUUGGACUUGAGACCGGGAGAGGUUAGAGGUACUCCCAGGGUAGAGGUGAAAUUCUGUAAUCCUGGGAGGACCGCCUGUUGCGAAGGCGUCUGACUGGAACGGUUCUGACGGUGAGGGACGAAAGUUAGGGGCGCGAACCGGAUUAGAUACCCGGGUAGUCCUAACUGUAAACGAUGCGGACUUGGUGUUGGGGUGGCUUUGAGCUGCUCCAGUGCCGAAGGGAAGCUGUUAAGUCCGCCGCCUGGGAAGUACGGUCGCAAGACUGAAACUUAA
RNAcentral lists this ribosomal RNA (771 nucleotides) under uncultured archaeon. RNAcentral's name for it is "bacterial SSU rRNA". It matches the Rfam family "Archaeal small subunit ribosomal RNA", at positions 88 to 859 of the family's 1478-position model. The record is from RNAcentral.